Molecule: non-coding RNA, 1092 nt
Organism: Coffea arabica (coffee)
Lineage: Eukaryota; Viridiplantae; Streptophyta; Magnoliopsida; Gentianales; Rubiaceae
Source: RefSeq, a predicted model, not a curated record
UGCAUCCUUGAAGCUUCCAUCCACAACUUUAACCUGUAGGUUUAUGCACAUGGAUAUAUCAGGUUUGGCUUGCUGUCCUAUUAUGAGAACUGGCUGUUCGUGCUAAAAAUCUUUCACGCUCAAGUACAAACAAGUCAAAUUAAUUCUGAAAAGGAAAACAUUCCGAGGACUGGAUGCCAUGAUCAUCUAGUUUAUAAGGGGUGUAUUCUUUUGCUCAAAAGAAGAGGAGAAAUUCGUUCCACUGCCACUAGUUUGCAUGGUUUUGGACUCCUUGGUGGAGCACUUAUAAAUACCGAUUUCAACUGCAAACACCAGGCGGGCCUCCCUUUCUUAUUAAAUGAGAUAUUUCAUGCUUCGUUUGCCUUGUUGAUGUUACGUGGUACGCGAGUUCCAUGUGAUUAUUAGCAACAUCAACCGACCAGAGAUCCUAAUACUCUGCUUUUGUACGACUUUGACGCCUAUAUAAUGCGAUUUGUAAUUGGCCACCUGUAGGACGAGGAUUAGCAUAUUAGUUGUCACUCGUUUGAAACAUGCAAAGUUGGGUUUUCCUAGAUAUAUUAUGUUGGAUGUGGAUAUAUUAUAUUGGCCACGAGUGCUCUUGAAAAUUAUGUUUGCCAAAAAAAUAAAAAAUAAAAAAGUGGCUAGCAGUUCCAAUCAAAUGAACUUUGGUCCAUUAUCUUUCUUUCCCAGAUUUAAACUAAAAAAGCUAGCUAGCUCAAUCCAAUGAACUUUGUCAUGACCUGUUGCUUUCUUUCCCAGAACUGAGAGCUUUUCUUGACGAGAACGAGGACCUACCAGUCCGUGUCUAGAUCUAAUGCAUGCUGCCGACCAUGAGAUAAAUACCAAACCUGUGCGUGGAUGGAUGGCUUGCCUUAUCAACUAAACCUACUGCUGCUUGGGACCAAUUGGACCAAUUCAACAAUUUCCUUGGCUUUUGAUUGAUAUACUAUUUUGAUGUUAUAUGUGAUUUGAUCUUAAUGAUAAACAGCAAAUUUUAGUAUUUUUUUCUAAUGUGUGGGUUGGUAUUAAAUUAAUUAAAUAAUGUAGUAGAUGAGGGACAAUGAUGAAAUCAUAUUAUUUUCUCUCUCCUAA